GACGAACGCUGGCGGCGUGCUUAACACAUGCAAGUCGAACGGAAAGGCCCUGCUUUUGUGGGGUGCUCGAGUGGCGAACGGGUGAGUAACACGUGAGUAACCUGCCCUUGACUUUGGGAUAACUUCAGGAAACUGGGGCUAAUACCGGAUAGGAGCUCCUGCUGCAUGGUGGGGGUUGGAAAGUUUCGGCGGUUGGGGAUGGACUCGCGGCUUAUCAGCUUGUUGGUGGGGUAGUGGCUUACCAAGGCUUUGACGGGUAGCCGGCCUGAGAGGGUGACCGGCGACAGUGGGAAUGAGGUACGGGACAGACUCCUGCGGGAGGCAGAAGGGGGGAAUAGUGAACAAUGGGCUGAAGCCGGACGCAGCGACGCCGAGUGCGGGAUGACGGCCGUCGGGAUGGAAAACGCUUUCGCCUGUGACGAAGCGUGAGUGACGGUAAGGGGUAGAGAAGCACGGGCUAAGUACGUG
Molecule: ribosomal RNA, 468 nt
Filed under: uncultured bacterium
Lineage: Bacteria
Description: partial 16S ribosomal RNA
Rfam family: Bacterial small subunit ribosomal RNA
Source: RNAcentral